GGAGUUAGGUGAAGAGGAGAACGAUGUCCAGGCAGGGGCCGGGGAAGCUCGUGCCAAGGCACUGAGGGGAAGUGCUGCAAUGAACCUCAGAGGCUGGAUCUUGCUGACUCAUCUGGGGUACCAAGGACAGACAAAGGACAUGGAGUCCAGGCCCAGGAGGCGAUACCAGGCCAGCAGUUUCACUGAUGCUCCUGUCAUGACGAUGACUGCCUCCCUCCUCCCCUUGGUCCCUGACUCAGUGUCUGCAGUGACCAGGCACCAGGCAGGGAGCAAGGAACCAAGCCUUUCACCUGCUCCCACCAACUCCUAUGGUGCUCCCUUUCCAAGGCUAGGUCUCCUCUCCACCCAGUUCCUUAUCACGUACCAUGAGAAGCUGUCACCUUGGCAACUGUCACCUUCUGGUGAGAUUUACAAUUGCACUGCUACAACUGCUUGUGGCAUGGUAAAGUUGCACCAGGACCUCUGCUGUCCAUGAGAUCAAAGUUCCAGGCCAAGAGACGGGUCUCACUAUGUUGCCCAGGCUGGUCUCAAGUUCCUGGAUUCAAUGUUCUUGCCUUGGCUUCUCAAAGUACCAGGAUUAUAGGCAUGAGCCACUGUGCCAGGCCCAAACCUAGCUUCUGAGUGGAAAAAUUUCUGCUGCCCCACCAGCUUCAGGAAGUGGGAGUCAACUCUAGUCACUGUGGUGAUGCAGAGAUAAUACGGCUGAUAAACCCCUUAUUUUUCUCUCC
Molecule: long non-coding RNA, 728 nt
Organism: Homo sapiens (human)
Lineage: Eukaryota; Metazoa; Chordata; Mammalia; Primates; Hominidae
Source: Ensembl